GGAUCUGACUAUAAGCCAUGGCCGGCGCCGGCUCCGCACCGGGAGGAACGCCGGUGUAAGUGUAACGCCUAGCUGCUCGCCCUCUUCCUCGCAUCAGAUGGCUGCCUAGCUCACACUACUCCGUGCGCAGUCGCCGACGUUUGCCCUCGCUGCUUUUGCUGGUCUCCCGCUGGCCGCCGCCUACUGGCUGCCAUAAAAUCCUACGCAUUCGUAAGUCUCCGAGGCAGAGUAUUGUAGGAACAUAGUUGGUGGUAUUAUCGUUGUUCACCCCGGUUUCUGUUGCUGCUCGCGCAGGUGCUACAGAGACAUCACACCGGGAUCAUCCGAUGACAGAUUAUGGAGGGUUAAUUACCUGUAGCAGUACUAGAAACCCAGAACUACCAUGAGAUGAGAAACAUCGGGAUGACUCCUAGCAAAAGAAAGAAGAUCCUAUACGAAAAUCCGUCUCUGCACCCGCGCUAACGAAAAAAUUCAAAACAAAUACUAGAAACAUUCCAAAAAAAAAAUUGUGUCGUAGACAAUUUGUUGCGUGAGACCCGUUCCAAAUUUCAAGUCAUUUGGAUAUAUGAGCAGCUCUCAGCAAAAAAAAA
RNAcentral lists this long non-coding RNA (590 nucleotides) under Triticum aestivum (bread wheat). RNAcentral describes it as "long non-coding RNA (TAES_LNC026546)". The record is from RNAcentral. Lineage: Eukaryota; Viridiplantae; Streptophyta; Magnoliopsida; Poales; Poaceae.